GACGAACGCUGGCGGCGUGCCUAAUACAUGCAAGUCGAACGAAAAGACCAGGAGUUUGCUCCUUUCUCGUUUGGCGAGGGGGGGAGAGAAACAUGUGGAAAAUCCCCCUAUAAGUCUGGGAAAAUCUCGGGAAAACGGAGAAUAUAGCGGAUAAUAUAUUGAAGCGCGUGGGUGAAUGGAAAAAUACGGGUUUUGUGGAUCUUCUCGCUGGAUCCGCGCCGGUUUUGCUAGUUGGUAAGGUAAAGGCUUACCAAGGCAACGAUGCGUAGCCGACCUGAGGGGGUGAUCGGCCACACUGGAACUGAGACACGGUCCAGACUCCUACGGGAGGCAGCAGUAGGGAAUCUUCCGCAAUGGGCGAAAGCCUGACGGAGCAACGCCGCGUGAGUGAUGAAGGUCUUCGGAUCGUAAAACUCUGUUAUUAGGGAAGAACAAAUGUGUAAGUAACUAUGCACGUCUUGACGGUACCUAAUCAGAAAGCCACGGCUAACUACGUG
RNAcentral lists this ribosomal RNA (497 nucleotides) under uncultured bacterium. RNAcentral's name for it is "partial 16S ribosomal RNA". It matches the Rfam family "Bacterial small subunit ribosomal RNA", at positions 28 to 507 of the family's 1533-position model. The record is from RNAcentral.